Cinara cedri is the source of this 221-nucleotide non-coding RNA. Lineage: Eukaryota; Metazoa; Arthropoda; Insecta; Hemiptera; Aphididae. The record is from the annotation of a GenBank genome assembly.
AGACACAUACCGGAUAUGUCUUGUUGUCGCAACAAAACAAAAACCAGUCCUCUCCAUGUGUACAAUAUCUCUGUAUUUAAUGGUCGGAUUUGUCUCGUUGUCGCACCAAUAUUACUUGUUGUCGUAUAUUGUUUUAUGUUACCGAUAAAAGUUGAAUACUGAUUUUUGUCAAAUUAUGGAUAUGUCUGGUUAUUGCCGCCAGGUCUUCAUGUGUGCCCCCU